RNAcentral lists this ribosomal RNA (632 nucleotides) under Bemisia tabaci. RNAcentral's name for it is "SSU rRNA". It matches the Rfam family "Eukaryotic small subunit ribosomal RNA", at positions 4 to 579 of the family's 1831-position model. Lineage: Eukaryota; Metazoa; Arthropoda; Insecta; Hemiptera; Aleyrodidae. The record is from RNAcentral.
CUGGUUGAUCCUGCCAGUAGUCAUAUGCUCGUCUCAAAGACUAAGGCAUGCAUGUCUCAGUGCAAGCCGAACUAAGGUGGAACCGCGAAAGGCUCAUUAAAUCAGUUGUCGUUCACAGGAUCGUGCCACACCCUACAUGGAUAACUGUGGUAAUUCUAGAGCUAAUACAUGCCGAUAGAGUCCCGGCAACUCCCCGGGCUCGCCCGGGGCAGGGACGCUUUUAUUAGAUCAAAACCGACACCGCGGGCCUCCGGGUCCGCGGUUUCUCCAGCACUUCGCGUGCACACUGGACGAUUCCGAAUAACUCCGGCCGAUCGCAUCGGACCCUCGCGGUCCGGGCGACGCAUCCUUCAAAUGUCUGCCUUAUCAACUUUCGACGGUCGGGUAUUGGCCUACCGUGGUUGCGACGGGUAACGGGGAAUCAGGGUUCGAUUCCGGAGAGGGAGCCUGAGAAACGGCUACCACAUCCAAGGAAGGCAGCAGGCGCGCAAAUUACCCACUCCCGGCACGGGGAGGUAGUGACGGAAAAUACCGAUGCGGGACUCAACCGAGGCCCCGUGAUCGGAAUGAGCGCCCCGUAAACAAGGCGACGAGGACCCAUUGGAGGGCAAGUCUGGUGCCAGCAGCCGCGG